UGGGGAAUCUUGGACAAUGGGGGCAACCCUGAUCCAGCCAUGCCGCGUGAGUGAUGAAGGCCUUAGGGUCGUAAAGCUCUUUCGCCUGUGAAGAUAAUGACGGUAGCAGGUAAAGAAACCCCGGCUAACUCCGUGCCAGCAGCCGCGGUAAUACGGAGGGGGUUAGCGUUGUUCGGGAAUUACUGGGCGUAAAGCGCGCGUAGGCGGACUGAUCAGUCAGGGGUGAAAUCCCGGGGCUCAACCCCGGAACUGCCUCCAAAACUAUUGGUCUAGAGUUCGAGAGAGGUGAGUGGAAUUCCAAGUGUAGAGGUGAAAUUCGUAGAUAUUUGGAGGAACACCAGUGGCGAAGGCGGCUCACUGGCUCGAUACUGACGCUGAGGUGCGAAAGUGUGGGGAGCAAACAGGAUUAGAUACCCUGGUAGUCCACACCGUAAACGAUGAAUGCCAGUCGUCGGGUAGCAUGCUAUUCGGUGACACACCUAACGGAUUAAGCAUUCCGCCUGGGAGUACGGUCGCAAGAUUAAAAGCUCAAAUG
RNAcentral lists this ribosomal RNA (535 nucleotides) under uncultured bacterium. RNAcentral's name for it is "bacterial SSU rRNA". It matches the Rfam family "Bacterial small subunit ribosomal RNA", at positions 355 to 907 of the family's 1533-position model. The record is from RNAcentral.